Molecule: ribosomal RNA, 2905 nt
Filed under: Enterobacter hormaechei
Lineage: Bacteria; Pseudomonadati; Pseudomonadota; Gammaproteobacteria; Enterobacterales; Enterobacteriaceae
Description: 23S ribosomal RNA
Rfam family: Bacterial large subunit ribosomal RNA
Source: RNAcentral
GGUUAAGCGACUAAGCGUACACGGUGGAUGCCCUGGCAGUCAGAGGCGAUGAAGGACGUGCUAAUCUGCGAAAAGCGCCGGCGAGGUGAUAUGAACCUUUGACCCGGCGAUGUCCGAAUGGGGAAACCCAGUGCAAUUCGUUGCACUAUCGUUAACUGAAUACAUAGGUUAACGAGGCGAACCGGGGGAACUGAAACAUCUAAGUACCCCGAGGAAAAGAAAUCAACCGAGAUUCCCCCAGUAGCGGCGAGCGAACGGGGAGCAGCCCGGAGUCUGAAUCAGCUUGUGUGUUAGUGGAACGGUCUGGAAAGUCCGACGGUACAGGGUGAUAGUCCCGUACACGAAAGCACACAUGCUGUGAACUCGAAGAGUAGGGCGGGACACGUGGUAUCCUGUCUGAAUAUGGGGGGACCAUCCUCCAAGGCUAAAUACUCCUGACUGACCGAUAGUGAACCAGUACCGUGAGGGAAAGGCGAAAAGAACCCCGGCGAGGGGAGUGAAAAAGAACCUGAAACCGUGUACGUACAAGCAGUGGGAGCACCUUCGUGGUGUGACUGCGUACCUUUUGUAUAAUGGGUCAGCGACUUAUAUUCUGUAGCAAGGUUAACCGUAUAGGGGAGCCGAAGGGAAACCGAGUCUUAACUGGGCGUUAAGUUGCAGGGUAUAGACCCGAAACCCGGUGAUCUAGCCAUGGGCAGGUUGAAGGUUGGGUAACACUAACUGGAGGACCGAACCGACUAAUGUUGAAAAAUUAGCGGAUGACCUGUGGCUGGGGGUGAAAGGCCAAUCAAACCGGGAGAUAGCUGGUUCUCCCCGAAAGCUAUUUAGGUAGCGCCUCGUGAACUCAUCUUCGGGGGUAGAGCACUGUUUCGGCUAGGGGGCCAUCCCGGCUUACCAACCCGAUGCAAACUACGAAUACCGAAGAAUGUUAUCACGGGAGACACACGGCGGGUGCUAACGUCCGUCGUGAAGAGGGAAACAACCCAGACCGCCAGCUAAGGUCCCAAAGUCAUGGUUAAGUGGGAAACGAUGUGGGAAGGCACAGACAGCCAGGAUGUUGGCUUAGAAGCAGCCAUCAUUUAAAGAAAGCGUAAUAGCUCACUGGUCGAGUCGGCCUGCGCGGAAGAUGUAACGGGGCUAAACCAUGCACCGAAGCUGCGGCAGCGACACUAUGUGUUGUUGGGUAGGGGAGCGUUCUGUAAGCCGUUGAAGGUGUGCUGUGAGGCAUGCUGGAGGUAUCAGAAGUGCGAAUGCUGACAUAAGUAACGAUAAAGCGGGUGAAAAGCCCGCUCGCCGGAAGACCAAGGGUUCCUGUCCAACGUUAAUCGGGGCAGGGUGAGUCGACCCCUAAGGCGAGGCCGAAAGGCGUAGUCGAUGGGAAACAGGUUAAUAUUCCUGUACUUGGUGUUACUGCGAAGGGGGGACGGAGAAGGCUAUGUCAGCCGGGCGACGGUUGUCCCGGUUUAAGCAUGUAGGCGGAGGUUCCAGGUAAAUCCGGUACCUUAUUAACGCUGAGGUGUGAUGACGAGGCACUACGGUGCUGAAGUGAUAAAUGCCCUGCUUCCAGGAAAAGCCUCUAAGCAUCAGGUAACACGAAAUCGUACCCCAAACCGACACAGGUGGUCAGGUAGAGAAUACCAAGGCGCUUGAGAGAACUCGGGUGAAGGAACUAGGCAAAAUGGUGCCGUAACUUCGGGAGAAGGCACGCUGAUAUGUAGGUGAAGCCCCUGCGGGUGGAGCUGAAAUCAGUCGAAGAUACCAGCUGGCUGCAACUGUUUAUUAAAAACACAGCACUGUGCAAACACGAAAGUGGACGUAUACGGUGUGACGCCUGCCCGGUGCCGGAAGGUUAAUUGAUGGGGUUAGCGGCAACGCGAAGCUCUUGAUCGAAGCCCCGGUAAACGGCGGCCGUAACUAUAACGGUCCUAAGGUAGCGAAAUUCCUUGUCGGGUAAGUUCCGACCUGCACGAAUGGCGUAAUGAUGGCCAGGCUGUCUCCACCCGAGACUCAGUGAAAUUGAACUCGCUGUGAAGAUGCAGUGUACCCGCGGCAAGACGGAAAGACCCCGUGAACCUUUACUAUAGCUUGACACUGAACACUGGUCCUUGAUGUGUAGGAUAGGUGGGAGGCUUUGAAGCGUGGACGCCAGUCUGCGUGGAGCCGCCCUUGAAAUACCACCCUUUAAUGGCUGGUGUUCUAACGUAGACCCGUAAUCCGGGUUGCGGACAGUGUCUGGUGGGUAGUUUGACUGGGGCGGUCUCCUCCCAAAGAGUAACGGAGGAGCACGAAGGUUGGCUAAUCCUGGUCGGACAUCAGGAGGUUAGUGCAAUGGCAUAAGCCAGCUUGACUGCGAGCGUGACGGCGCGAGCAGGUGCGAAAGCAGGUCAUAGUGAUCCGGUGGUUCUGAAUGGAAGGGCCAUCGCUCAACGGAUAAAAGGUACUCCGGGGAUAACAGGCUGAUACCGCCCAAGAGUUCAUAUCGACGGCGGUGUUUGGCACCUCGAUGUCGGCUCAUCACAUCCUGGGGCUGAAGUAGGUCCCAAGGGUAUGGCUGUUCGCCAUUUAAAGUGGUACGCGAGCUGGGUUUAGAACGUCGUGAGACAGUUCGGUCCCUAUCUGCCGUGGGCGCUGGAGAAUUGAGGGGGGCUGCUCCUAGUACGAGAGGACCGGAGUGGACGCAUCACUGGUGUUCGGGUUGUCAUGCCAAUGGCACUGCCCGGUAGCUAAAUGCGGAAGAGAUAAGUGCUGAAAGCAUCUAAGCACGAAACUUGCCCCGAGAUGAGUUCUCCCUGAGACUUUAAGUCUCCUGAAGGAACGUUGAAGACGACGACGUUGAUAGGUCGGGUGUGUAAGCGCAGCGAUGCGUUGAGCUAACCGAUACUAAUGAACCGUGAGGCUUAACCUU